RNAcentral lists this ribosomal RNA (487 nucleotides) under uncultured bacterium. RNAcentral's name for it is "bacterial SSU rRNA". It matches the Rfam family "Bacterial small subunit ribosomal RNA", at positions 29 to 507 of the family's 1533-position model. The record is from RNAcentral.
AGUGAACGCUGGCGGCAGGCCUAAUACAUGCAAGUCGAACGGCAGCACAGCAGAGCUUGCUCUGUGGGUGGCGAGUGGCGGACGGGUGAGGAAUACAUGGGAAUCUGCCCAGUCGUGGGGGAUAACGUAGGGAAACUUACGCUAAUACCGCAUGCGCCCUUCGGGGGAAAGCCGGGGACCUUCGGGCCUGGCGCGAUUGGAUGAGCCCAUGUCGGAUUAGCUAGUUGGCGGGGUAAUGGCCCACCAAGGCGACGAUCCGUAGCUGGUCUGAGAGGAUGAUCAGCCACACUGGAACUGAGACACGGUCCAGACUCCUACGGGAGCAGCAGUAGGGAAUAUUGGACAAUGGGCGCAAGCCUGAUCCAGCCAUGCCGCGUGAGUGAAGAAGGCCCUCGGGUUGUAAAGCUCUUUUGUCCGGAAGAAAAGCGCCGGGUUAAUACCCUGGUGUCCUGACGGUACCGGAAGAUAAGCACCGGCUAACUUCGUG